RNAcentral lists this ribosomal RNA (425 nucleotides) under uncultured bacterium. RNAcentral describes it as "bacterial SSU rRNA". It matches the Rfam family "Bacterial small subunit ribosomal RNA", at positions 356 to 773 of the family's 1533-position model. The record is from RNAcentral.
GGGGAAUUUUGGACAAUGGGCGCAAGCCUGAUCCAGCCAUGCCGCGUGAGUGAAGAAGGCCUUCGGGUUGUAAAGCUCUUUCGGCGGGGAAGAAAUUGCACUCUCUAAUACAGGGUGUAGAUGACGGUACCCGCAUAAGAAGCACCGGCUAACUACGUGCCAGCAGCCGCGGUAAUACGUAGGGUGCGAGCGUUAAUCGGAAUUACUGGGCGUAACGCGUGCGCAGGUGGUGGUGUAAGUCAGAUGUGAAAUCCCCGGGCUCAACCUGGGAACUGCAUUUGAGACUGCACGGCUAGAGGAUGGCAGAGGGGGGUAGAAUUCCACGUGUAGCAGUGAAAUGCGUAGAGAUGUGGAGGAAUACCGAUGGCGAAGGCAGCCCCCUGGGCUAUUUCUGACACUCAUGCACGAAAGCGUGGGGAGCAAAC